RNAcentral lists this ribosomal RNA (1372 nucleotides) under uncultured bacterium. RNAcentral describes it as "bacterial SSU rRNA". It matches the Rfam family "Bacterial small subunit ribosomal RNA", at positions 28 to 1381 of the family's 1533-position model. The record is from RNAcentral.
GAUGAACGCUGGCGGCGUGCCUAAUACAUGCAAGUCGAGCGAACGGACGAGAAGCUUGCUUCUCUGAUGUUAGCGGCGGACGGGUGAGUAACACGUGGAUAACCUACCUAUAAGACUGGGAUAACUUCGGGAAACCGGAGCUAAUACCGGAUAAUAUUUUGAACCGCAUGGUUCAAAAGUGAAAGACGGUCUUGCUGUCACUUAUAGAUGGAUCCGCGCUGCAUUAGCUAGUUGGUAAGGUAACGGCUUACCAAGGCAACGAUGCAUAGCCGACCUGAGAGGGUGAUCGGCCACACUGGAACUGAGACACGGUCCAGACUCCUACGGGAGGCAGCAGUAGGGAAUCUUCCGCAAUGGGCGAAAGCCUGACGGAGCAACGCCGCGUGAGUGAUGAAGGUCUUCGGAUCGUAAAACUCUGUUAUUAGGGAAGAACAUAUGUGUAAGUAACUGUGCACAUCUUGACGGUACCUAAUCAGAAAGCCACGGCUAACUACGUGCCAGCAGCCGCGGUAAUACGUAGGUGGCAAGCGUUAUCCGGAAUUAUUGGGCGUAAAGCGCGCGUAGGCGGUUUUUUAAGUCUGAUGUGAAAGCCCACGGCUCAACCGUGGAGGGUCAUUGGAAACUGGGAAACUUGAGUGCAGAAGAGGAAAGUGGAAUUCCAUGUGUAGCGGUGAAAUGCGCAGAGAUAUGGAGGAACACCAGUGGCGAAGGCGACUUUCUGGUCUGUAACUGACGCCGAUGUGCGAAAGCGUGGGGAUCAAACAGGAUUAGAUACCCUGGUAGUCCACGCCGUAAACGAUGAGUGCUAAGUGUUAGGGGGUUUCCGCCCCUUAGUGCUGCAGCUAACGCAUUAAGCACUCCGCCUGGGGAGUACGACCGCAAGGUUGAAACUCAAAGGAAUUGACGGGGACCCGCACAAGCGGUGGAGCAUGUGGUUUAAUUCGAAGCAACGCGAAGAACCUUACCAAAUCUUGACAUCCUUUGACAACUCUAGAGAUAGAGCCUUCCCCUUCGGGGGACAAAGUGACAGGUGGUGCAUGGUUGUCGUCAGCUUGUGUCGUGAGAUGUUGGGUUAAGUCCCGCAACGAGCGCAACCCUUAAGCUUAGUUGCCAUCAUUAAGUUGGGCACUCUAAGUUGACUGCCGGUGACAAACCGGAGGAAGGUGGGGAUGACGUCAAAUCAUCAUGCCCCUUAUGAUUUGGGCUACACACGUGCUACAAUGGACAAUACAAAGGGCAGCGAAACCGCGAGGUCAAGCAAAUCCCAUAAAGUUGUUCUCAGUUCGGAUUGUAGUCUGCAACUCGACUACAUGAAGCUGGAAUCGCUAGUAAUCGUAGAUCAGCAUGCUACGGUGAAUACGUUCCCGGGUCU